Molecule: unclassified non-coding RNA, 275 nt
Filed under: Hevea brasiliensis (rubber tree)
Lineage: Eukaryota; Viridiplantae; Streptophyta; Magnoliopsida; Malpighiales; Euphorbiaceae
Source: RNAcentral
UAGAAAGGUAAGAAAGAGAAAGAUAAGAAGAAGAAGGAAAAUGGCAGACGCUAAGAAAAAGGUAAGAAGCCGGCAAAGAAGAUUUCGCGGUCAGGUUCAAAGUCUUCUCGAUUAGAGGCUUCCCCAACUGCACUGGUUUUUCAACCUCCAUGGGACUUCUUUCCCGGGAAAGCGAAAGCACAACUUUCCUUACUUCUUAUACCCUUGCGGGCAAAACAAAGCAAACCUUUGUCUUUUCUCUAACAAAUAUUAGGAAAGAAAUGCUAACCCGGAAC